Molecule: long non-coding RNA, 931 nt
Filed under: Aedes aegypti (yellow fever mosquito)
Lineage: Eukaryota; Metazoa; Arthropoda; Insecta; Diptera; Culicidae
Description: lncRNA AAEL024299
Source: RNAcentral
UCAUGCCGAUGUAUUGAAAAUCCGAUGUAAUCAACAAUUUCAGGUGUAUAAUAACAUAUUUUCAAUGCUAUAUUACAUCGCCCCAAAAUUACACGGAAACAUCAUUACCAAUUUUCAACACGUUGCUGUUGUGUAAUAUUCACAUCUGAAAAUGUUGAAUAUUACACAGAAACAGCUGCAACCAACUCGUUCCAACUUACGUUAGUGAUAUUACACUAAUUCGAUGUCAUUUCACAUUCGGCAUCUAUGCUAUAAUACAUCUCGCAACACUGCUCAGACUUUGUUUUGGUCGGCGGUUGUUGGCCGCCAUUAGUGCGCGAUCGCGUUUUAUUUUGUGGAUUUCCGGAGUUUCCGACGCAAAAAACUCCUGAAAAUAGUGAAUUUAGAAACAUCGGCCAGGAAGGCAAUCAACGAAGCAGGAAAUUAAGACGUCUCUGGAGAAAAUGUGCUCCCUUGUGAUCCUUCCGGCAUAACCGUCUCAACCGGUAAACCAGUCGGGAGAAUUCAACCUUUUUCGACGUUUGUUGUCCAGCAAAAGCCAUGAAACCGGCCAUACCAAAGGAAGUCUGGUGGCUCAUUUCAAUAAUCUGCCCAUGGAUAGACUUGGGAAUAAGUGGAGACGCUCGUAAACGGGAUCCGACGUCCCGUUUAUCUGCCAUUCCAAUCGAUCUUCAGCAACUGGCGCGCUGCAAUGAUGUGAGCUUCUAAUGAUGAACCUAAAAGGAGCUUCGGAACAACUACGGUAAAAAAGGCUCAACAGAGUACGAACUUUCCACAAUGGUUCACAGUCUAAUCAGGAAGUCAGCACACAAGAUCGAGCGUCUUCUGGUAUUCAUCACUCUGGGUUUCAUUGCGAAGGCCUAUUACUGUUAAAAAUAAUAAUAUGUAAUAAAAAAAUAAAUAAAAUUUAAUACUGUCUGUUUAACCAUUC